Molecule: ribosomal RNA, 500 nt
Filed under: uncultured bacterium
Lineage: Bacteria
Description: bacterial SSU rRNA
Rfam family: Bacterial small subunit ribosomal RNA
Source: RNAcentral
AGGGUUCGAUUCUGGCUCAGGAUGAACGCUGGCGGCGUGCCUAAUACAUGCAAGUCGUACGAGGGAAGUCCAGCUUGCUGGACGGAACGAGUGGCGAACGGGUGAGUAAUACGUAAGCAACCUGCCUGCAAGGACUGGGAUAACACCUGGAAACGGGCGCUAAUACCGGAUAGGUAACAAAGGGGCAUCCCUAUGUUAUUAAAGGUUAGAAACACAAGCAGAUGGGCUUACGGUGCAUUAGCUAGUUGGUGAGGUAACGGCCCACCAAGGCGAUGAUGCAUAGCCGGCCUGAGAGGGUGAACGGCCACAUUGGGACUGAGACACGGCCCAGACUCCUACGGGAGGCAGCAGUGGGGAAUAUUGGGCAAUGGGGGGAACCCUUGACCCAGCAACGCCGCGUGAGGGAAGAAGGUCUUCGGAUCGUAAACCUCUGUCCUAAGGGAAGAGCAGAAGACUGUACCUUAGGAGGAAGCCCCGGCUAACUACGUGCCAGCCGCUGC